This 549-nucleotide ribosomal RNA is filed under the name uncultured bacterium. RNAcentral describes it as "bacterial SSU rRNA". It matches the Rfam family "Bacterial small subunit ribosomal RNA", at positions 355 to 896 of the family's 1533-position model. The record is from RNAcentral.
UGGGGAAUAUUGGACAAUGGGCGAAAGCCUGAUCCAGCCAUGCCGCGUGUGUGAAGAAGGCCUUUUGGUUGUAAAGCACUUUAAGUGGGGAGGAAAAGCUUAUGGUUAAUACCCAUAAGCCCUGACGUUACCCACAGAAUAAGCACCGGCUAACUCUGUGCCAGCAGCCGCGGUAAUACAGAGGGUGCAAGCGUUAAUCGGAAUUACUGGGCGUAAAGCGCGCGUAGGUGGUUAUUUAAGUCAGAUGUGAAAGCCCCGGGCUUAACCUGGGAACUGCAUCUGAUACUGGAUAACUAGAGUAGGUGAGAGGGGAGUAGAAUUCCAGGUGUAGCAGUGAAAUGCGUAGAGAUCUGGAGGAAUACCGAUGGCGAAGGCAGCUCCCUGGCAUCAUACUGACACUGAGGUGCGAAAGCGUGGGUAGCAAACAGGAUUAGAUACCCUGGUAGUCCACGCCGUAAACGAUGUCUACCAGUCGUUGGGUCUUUUAAAGACUUAGUGACGCAGUUAACGCAAUAAGUAGACCGCCUGGGGAGUACGGCCGCAAGGUUA